This 253-nucleotide ribosomal RNA is filed under the name uncultured bacterium. RNAcentral describes it as "partial 16S ribosomal RNA". It matches the Rfam family "Bacterial small subunit ribosomal RNA", at positions 524 to 776 of the family's 1533-position model. The record is from RNAcentral.
GACGAACCGUGCUAACGUUGUUCGGAAUCACUGGGCUUAAAGGGCGCGUAGGCGGGCACGCAAGUCAGGGGUGAAAGCCCACGGCUCAACCGUGGAAGGGCCUUUGAUACUGCGUGUCUGGAGGGAGGUAGGGGCGUGCGGAACUUCCGGUGGAGCGGUGAAAUGCGUAGAUAUCGGAAGGAACACCGGUGGCGAAAGCGGCGCGCUGGACCUCUUCUGACGCUGAGGCGCGAAAGCCAGGGGAGCAAACGGG